RNAcentral lists this unclassified non-coding RNA (80 nucleotides) under Polaribacter sp. KT25b. RNAcentral describes it as "Flavo-1 RNA". Lineage: Bacteria; Pseudomonadati; Bacteroidota; Flavobacteriia; Flavobacteriales; Flavobacteriaceae. The record is from RNAcentral.
UUGCAUGAAGGAUUGAAGCAAUUGUUUGAGCUCUUUUUUAUUUUUCAUAAAAAAAGCGAGUGCGGAAAGCCUGACGAUUU